AGAGAUCAUGGCUCAGAAUCAACGCUGGCGGCGUGCCUCAGACAUGCAAGUCGAACGCGAAAGUCCCCUUCGGGGGAUGAGUAGAGUGGCGCACGGGUGAGUAACACGUAGGUAAUCUACCUUCGGAUGGGGAAUAACAACCGGAAACGGUUGCUAAUACCGCAUAAUGCAGCGGCACCUAAUGGUGACAGUUGUUAAAGCGGGGGAUCGAAAGACCUCGCGUCUGAAGAGGAGCCUGCGGCAGAUUAGCUAGUUGGUAAGGUAAUGGCUUACCAAGGCGAUGAUCUGUAGCCGGCCUGAGAGGGCGGUCGGCCACACUGACACUGACAUACGGGUCAGACUCCUACGGGAGGCAGCAGUCGGGAAUUUUGGGCAAUGGGCGAAAGCCUGACCCAGCAACGCCGCGUGAAGGAUGAAAUCCUUCGGGAUGUAAACUUCGCAAGAACGGGAAGAAUAAGUAGGGGACAAUACCCCCCAUGAUGACGGUACUGUUUGUAAGCUCCGGCUAACUCCGUGCCAGCAGCCGCGGUAAUACGGGGGGAGCAAGCGUUGUUCGGAUUUACUGGGCGUAAAGGGCGCGUAGGCGGCCACCGCAAGUCAGUUGUGAAAUCUCUGGGCUUAACCCAGAAAGGUCAACUGAUACUGCGGGGCUAGAGUGCAGAAGGGGCAACUGGAAUUCUCGGUGUAGCGGUGAAAUGCGUAGAUAUCGAGAGGAACACCUGCGGCGAAGGCGGGUUGCUGGGCUGACACUGACGCUGAGGCGCGAAAGCUAGGGGAGCGAACGGGAUUAGAUACCCCGGUAGUCCUAGCCUUAACGAUGAAUGCUUGGUGUCUGGGGUUUU
RNAcentral lists this ribosomal RNA (842 nucleotides) under uncultured Acidobacteriota bacterium. RNAcentral describes it as "bacterial SSU rRNA". It matches the Rfam family "Bacterial small subunit ribosomal RNA", at positions 8 to 833 of the family's 1533-position model. The record is from RNAcentral. Lineage: Bacteria; Pseudomonadati; Acidobacteriota.